GCCGGAGUGGCGGAAUUGGUAGACGCGACGGAUUCAAAAUCCGUUGCCCGUAUAGGGCGUGAGGGUUCGAGUCCCUCCUCCGGCA
RNAcentral lists this transfer RNA (85 nucleotides) under Planctomycetota bacterium. RNAcentral describes it as "Planctomycetes bacterium (bioreactor metagenome) tRNA-Leu". It matches the Rfam family "tRNA". From Rfam's summary of the family: Transfer RNA (tRNA) molecules are approximately 80 nucleotides in length. Their secondary structure includes four short double-helical elements and three loops (D, anti-codon, and T loops). Lineage: Bacteria; Pseudomonadati; Planctomycetota. The record is from RNAcentral.